UACGUAGGGGGCUAGCGUUGUCCGGAAUCAUUGGGCGUAAAGCGCGUGUAGGCGGUCCGGUAAGUCCGCUGUGAAAGUCGGGGGCUCAACCCUCGGAUGCCGGUGGAUACUGUCGGGCUUGAGUACGGAAGAGGCGAGUGGAAUUCCUGGUGUAGCGGUGAAAUGCGCAGAUAUCAGGAGGAACACCAAUUGCGACGGCAGCUCGCUGGGACGUUACUGACGCUGAGACGCGAAAGCGUGGGGAGCAAACAGG
This 253-nucleotide ribosomal RNA is filed under the name uncultured bacterium. RNAcentral's name for it is "partial 16S ribosomal RNA". It matches the Rfam family "Bacterial small subunit ribosomal RNA", at positions 524 to 776 of the family's 1533-position model. The record is from RNAcentral.